Long non-coding RNA from Perca flavescens (yellow perch), 666 nucleotides. RefSeq lists it as uncharacterized. NCBI's taxonomy places the organism in Eukaryota, Metazoa, Chordata, Actinopteri, Perciformes, Percidae. The transcript is spliced from 3 exons. The record is from RefSeq and is a predicted model, not a curated record.
GUACUGAACUUGCCCAGACAUGUUUUGCUGCUUGACCACGCCUUCUACAAGACAAAGGAAGAGCGGGAGAAACAGGAUUUUGCCUAUACUGUCUAUGGAGUUUGCAAGAAAAGCAUCUUGGAUGAGUCUGUGGAAAAAAGGAGAGAGGUUGCUAUCCGUGGCUUAAUGGUGUAUCUCAGAGAAAAGGAGGAGGAUCUCUUCAAAGAGCAGUUGGAUGGAGGGGAUAUUAUCAAUGAAGUGAUGAAGAUUGUCAUAUCCAGAGGUGCCACCAUGUCUGAUCCAACCAGCGCGAGGAUCUUCAUUGAAGGAACAGAAUUUCUGCAAGACUUGGACACUAUUUAAGUCCCUUGGAAAACAUACCUCUAUAUUCGCCAUGAAGAAUACAUGUAGCCGUUUAAUAUGUUUUUUCCAACACCAGCAUCAUUUAAUUUAUGUAUUCUUUUUCACAUGGUGCUUUUUUUUAUUGUAUUCUUUAACAUGCACAGAGUGGAUUGAGGGGAUUGGGCCUCAAAAUAUUUUGGAGGAUUUGACUUGACUUUGAAGCUCCCAAACAUUAAUUUUGAUUAAAGGGGAACUUUGGGUAACUUGGGAACUCAAGUGUGUGUGUGUGUGUGUGUGUGUGUGUGUGUGUGUGUCAGUGAGUGAGUCAGUGAGUGAGUCAGUGAG